UUGUGAAUAGUGAUGAUCCGUCAUGUUGCAAACAACUACAUACAUACAUAUGAAAUUUUUUUGAAUAAUAAUAUACUACUAUUAAUUUUCAAUAUAUUUCGUCGACAUACUUCUUAAUCAUACGGAACAAGUGAAGUUGAUAUGCGAAAGAAACCAUUGUUAAAGUGAAUACUACUAUUCUUAUCGUGUUGAAUUGUCUUUGAUUCAUACGAGAUCCGACAAAGCUCAGUUCAAAAGAUAUUUCUUGAUUUCAGCCCUUAAAAUCUUCAUUUGGACGUCAAGACAGCUGACAGACAGAUUAUUUCCAUUCUGCUUGGAAUGUUGGUUGUUACAACGUAUGGUAAAAAUAUGAAUAGGGAUUACGAUGUCUGGAUUCAAGAAUAUUUGAAAAGGUGAAGAACACUCACUUCGUGUUCCCCAAAGAAUUUGGUUUAUCUAAUCAAAUCACAUAUUCGAAAGCCUUUUAUUGAUCGAGGUACACCUUCUAUUGGAGCAAUUUCAUACUGAAGCCUCAAAAUUGCAAGAUUCGCACAAAAAAUGUCAAUCGAAAACAUUCGAUAGAAGCCACCGCCCCUCCCGAACAUGGAACAAUCCAAAAUUUCUGUGAUUUCUAUGUCUAAUGUCAAAAUGGAAAUUAAUUCAUUCGAGUGCGUUCUGGAAGUUGACUUUGAUUCCCGUUUUCGAACAUACAGGGAGGAGGAAAAAUCAAGAUAUUUUUGCAAGAUCGACGAUUCGCUGUGAAAGGAGAAAUGAUCGAUCGGCUGAAGAGCAUUUAUGGUUGAUAUUGGGAGAUUCGACAUUUUUGGAGAAUUCGACGAGUUUUGAAGUGGAUUUGAGGGUUGGUUUCAUGGAAUUGUUGUAAUCUAUAUAGCGAUGAUGAUGAGUAUCAACAAUCCAUAUACGAAUUGGGCAACUUUUACUGCCUCGUGUCAGCAGAAAAAUGGAACUGCAUGGGAGUCGUCAAUCGAUAAAGAGAAUAUUGAAAUUGAAGAAUACUGAACAGAGGGCGGCCAAAUAAGAGUAUGAAAGGAAUUGAAGACAAAAUCCACCAAAUGAAGAAAUGUAAAGAAUUCUCAAAGAUUACUUUUUAUACGUACAUGAUCUGAAUGAAGAAGAUCACAAAGAAGCUAUGGUUGAAGCGACGCAAAAAAAUCAAUCAGAUUAAUGGAUGAUGUGUGUGUUUUCGAACGACCACAGUAUGUUGGCAAAUAAAUUUUCCAAACUAUUUGCCAUUCAUUUUGGCUCUUUUGUGAUAUUAUCAAGACUUGAUAAACAAGGAAAGACAUCGUAAAUAAUAUAAAAAUAUUUCAUAUUUCAUGUCAUAAUUGAAUUUCUCAGAAAUAAAAAUAUUCUCAAUGGAAAUGAUUUCUCCUAAUCAAGAGUCUUUGAGAAUCUUAGGUGGAAGUUUUUCUAGCCAAAAUUGAUGUCAGAAUGAGAUGGA
Molecule: RNA transcript, 1441 nt
Organism: Coccinella septempunctata (seven-spotted ladybird)
Lineage: Eukaryota; Metazoa; Arthropoda; Insecta; Coleoptera; Coccinellidae
Exons: 5
Source: RefSeq, a predicted model, not a curated record